UACGUAGGGCGCAAGCGUUGUCCGGAAUUAUUGGGCGUAAAGAGCUCGUAGGCGGUCUGUCGCGUCUGCUGUGAAAACCCGAGGCUCAACCUCGGGCCUGCAGUGGGUACGGGCAGACUAGAGUGCGGUAGGGGAGACUGGAAUUCCUGGUGUAGCGGUGGAAUGCGCAGAUAUCAGGAGGAACACCGAUGGCGAAGGCAGGUCUCUGGGCCGCAACUGACGCUGAGGAG
This 230-nucleotide ribosomal RNA is filed under the name uncultured bacterium. Its description in RNAcentral is "partial 16S ribosomal RNA". It matches the Rfam family "Bacterial small subunit ribosomal RNA", at positions 524 to 753 of the family's 1533-position model. The record is from RNAcentral.